This 429-nucleotide ribosomal RNA is filed under the name Gemmatimonadota bacterium. RNAcentral's name for it is "Gemmatimonadetes bacterium partial 16S ribosomal RNA". It matches the Rfam family "Bacterial small subunit ribosomal RNA", at positions 355 to 776 of the family's 1533-position model. The record is from RNAcentral. Lineage: Bacteria; Pseudomonadati; Gemmatimonadota.
UAGGGAAUCUUCGGCAAUGGACGAAAGUCUGCCCGAGCAACGCCGCGUGUUUGAAGAAGGUUUUCGGAUCGUAAAACUCUGUUGUUAGAGAAGAACAAUGACGUUAGUAACUGAACGUCCCCUGACGGUAUCUAACCAGAAAGCCACGGCUAACUACGUGCCAGCAGCCGCGGUAAUACGUAGGUGGCAAGCGUUGUCCGGAUUUAUUGGGCGUAAAGCGAGCGCAGGCGGUUUCUUAAGUCUGAUGUGAAAGCCCCCGGCUCAACCGGGGAGGGUCAUUGGAAACUGGGAGACUUGAGUGCAGAAGAGGAGAGUGGAAUUCCAUGUGUAGCGGUGAAGUGCGUAGAUAUAUGGAGGAACACCAGUGGCGAAGGCGGCUCUCUGGUCUGUAAAUGACGCUGAGGCUCGAAAGAGUGGGGAGCAAACAGG